RNAcentral lists this ribosomal RNA (253 nucleotides) under uncultured bacterium. Its description in RNAcentral is "partial 16S ribosomal RNA". It matches the Rfam family "Bacterial small subunit ribosomal RNA", at positions 524 to 776 of the family's 1533-position model. The record is from RNAcentral.
UACGUAGGCAGCAAGCGUUGUUCGGAAUUACUGGGCGUAAAGAGUGUGUAGGCGGUGUGGUAAGUUUGGUGUGAAAUCUCCCGGCUUAACUGGGAGGGUGCGCCGAAGACUGCCAUGCUCGAGGAUGGGAGAGGAAAGCGGAAUUCCUGGUGUAGCGGUGAAAUGCGUAGAUAUCAGGAGGAACACCUGCGGUGUAGACGGCUUUCUGGACCAUCCCUGACGCUGAGACACGAAAGCGUGGGUAGCAAACAGG